CGGCGGGAGAAGCGCCUACGACGGUGGAGGUCGAGGCGGACGAGCUGUGGCGGAGCACGGGUGUCCAGGGGGACGCUGGGGAAGCGUGCGCAAGGGCGAGGACGGCGGAGGAGAGCUGCGAGGUGCCGCUGGAGAUGGGUGAGCAGGUCGAGUGGGGUCUCCCUGCGCCCAGAGAAAGAGCGGCAGGAAGAGGCAGCGAACCGCCGUCGACCGCGGAGGAAAGUCGCCCCGCGAAGAGCGCCGCUUUCCCAAGCAGGACGGAUGCCGUGCUGGGCGACGCGGAGCAGUGUGCCUCGUCUGUGGACAGGCAGAGCUCCGUGUCGGAGAGGAGCGGAACCGCCGACGCGAAUUCUCCCGCGGAACGGGAGUCCGGCACUUUCGGGGAAAAAGCGCCCAGCCUGCCUGAAGCCCAGGCAAGCGUUGUCGAAGAGCGGCGCGGCGGAGCAAACGCCGCAAAAAGAGGAGGGCUGCGUAGCAAGAAGCGGCCAGUUUUACGAGCGUCGCGGCGGGCUCAGCGUGCGGCGAAUCGGCGGAGGCGAGAGCGGCAAGCAGGGCGGCCUUGCCAGGUCCUUCGCCGAAAGACGGCCGAGCGGCGAGGCGCGCGGCGAGACGACGGGGGGCGCGAGAAAGAUGUCCGCCCCCGACAACGGAGCGGGGACAACGCGGAGCGGCUGCGGGGAGCCGUCGCGAAGGUCCCACGGAAGCCGGUUAGCGAAAGCCACGUGGGCGCCGCCAUGUUCGGGACGCGCCACGUGCGAGUGAGGGAGUCCUGCGGGGGCCGAGGCCGGGCGGACGGGGGACGAGGAUGGCCACCCCGACCCCCAAGCGCGCCGCCAUGGGGGUCUCUUGCAGGUUUCCCCGCCCCAACCACCAGCGGUGAGCGUCUGGGACCUGUACUCCCGACCGGAUGCACGUGAGAACAGCGCUGGACGUUGGGACAAUUGUGGGGCAGGCAGCAGCGGGGACGCUGCUAUUCUUUUUGAUGGGGGGCUAUGUAACGACCCACGUUACUGCUUUAAUGUAAAUAGUUGCAUUAUGGGAAAUCUGUAAAUAAUGUCCGUAACCGCUGGGGUUACGUCGGGGGGAAAUGGUGGGUUGACUGGCUG
RNAcentral lists this long non-coding RNA (1106 nucleotides) under Scleropages formosus (Asian bonytongue). Its description in RNAcentral is "lncRNA (ENSSFOG00015033288.1)". Lineage: Eukaryota; Metazoa; Chordata; Actinopteri; Osteoglossiformes; Osteoglossidae. The record is from RNAcentral.